Molecule: ribosomal RNA, 468 nt
Filed under: uncultured bacterium
Lineage: Bacteria
Description: partial 16S ribosomal RNA
Rfam family: Bacterial small subunit ribosomal RNA
Source: RNAcentral
GACGAACGCUGGCGGCGUGCUUAACACAUGCAAGUCGAACGGAAAGGCCCUGCUUUUGUGGGGUGCUCGAGUGGCGAACGGGUGAGUAACACGUGAGUAACCUGCCCUUGACUUUGGGAUAACUUCAGGAAACUGGGGCUAAUACCGGAUAGGAGCUCCUGCUGCAUGGUGGGGGUUGGAAAGUUUCGGCGGUUGGGGAUGGACUCGCGGCUGAUCAGCUUGUUGGUGGGGUAGUGGCUUACCAAGGCUUUGACGGGUAGCCGGCCUGAGAGGGUGACCGGCCACAUUGGGACUGAGAUACGGCCCAGACUCCUACGGGAGGCAGCAGUGGGGAAUAUUGCACAAUGGGCGGAAGCCUGAUGCAGCCACGCCGCGUGCGGGAUGACGGCCUUCGGGUUGUAAACCGCUUUCGCCUGUGACGAAGCGUGAGUGACGGUAAUGGGUAAAGAAGCACCGGCUAACUACGUG